Molecule: non-coding RNA, 3657 nt
Organism: Oryctolagus cuniculus (rabbit)
Lineage: Eukaryota; Metazoa; Chordata; Mammalia; Lagomorpha; Leporidae
Source: RefSeq, a predicted model, not a curated record
UGUUUUUUCCAUUCUAGUCAAAGCGAGACUAAUGUACACUGGAUGGUGGCACACAAAUCUUUAAGACUCUUGAGGGGACAGAGUUGACCAGAGAGAUGACUGUGAUGAUUAGCAGGAAGGUGAUUCCAGGAGAUUACAGUGCAAUGCUUCACAAGAACGCAACGGAGCUCAACUGAUCAAAUUGAAAAAAAUCAAAUCUCCGGCUAUGCUGGAAGACCAAUCACCAAAUCCAGGUUAUUUUGCAGAGAGAAAGCUAUUACAAGGAGAUCAGGAAGAAGAUUCCUGUUACACCAGUUUCAGCAGAACUCCCCAUCAACAAUAUCGAUCAUCCUCAUCGUCUGAUCAGUUUCAUCAUCCUCCACCAUCUUCCAAAUGAUGUCUCAUCUCCCUGGCCUGCCUUCAGCUAGAAUCCCCAUUGACCCUGAUGUUCCUUUUAGUAAUUCUCCAACUACUGCCCUUGCCUUGCUCUUUGUCUAGAAAUGGUCACACGCAUAGGCUUGGGUUCCACCUCUCUCUCCCACUGCAACACCUCAUAGGACUCCACACCUAUAGUGAUGGCCUCCUCCUGAUUACAGUCUUCUUCACCUCAUUUAACAUCAUGGAUUAUAUUCUGAAGCAGUAAAAAGCAAUUCAAUUAGUCAUUUAUGAGCCAAAGAGUGGGCAUUUGCAUGGUUUCUGUGUUAUGAUCUUUUCAUAAAGAAAGAAUGGGGAAUGUAUGGAUGUUGUCCAUGUCCUAUAGGAAAAGGGAGGGUUUUAUUGCAAGUUUGGGAUUCCUUUAAACUUCCUUGUUUUCUAGGAGCAGAAGCAGAGGAGUCACAUAAAUUCAACUUGUCAUGGAAUAGCUCCUUCUCUAACAACAAGCCUUGAGAUAAGAAAGCAAUAGUCAUUGUACAAAUAAGUUAAUUUUGUUGGGGUUUAUGUAAAUCUAUGGAAGGUCUCUAUAAAGCCUAAAAUACAAAAGUUAAUUAUAGUCCUGAUAUAAACUAAAUAUCAAUUAGUGAUUGUCAUUGACUGGAAACAGUAUUAACCAUAUUGAAUAUAUUAUUAUCUAACUUUUUUGUCACAAUUUUACAAAGACAGUAUUAAUAUAUCCAUUUUACAGAAUAAAAUACAGAAGCAAAAAGAAGCCAUAAGGCAGAUGCCUAAAGCCACAGUUUAAACAUCAGACUAAAUUCUUAUUGUUGAAAAGGUGCCUUUUUUGGCUCUGAAAUAUAAGAAAAAACAAAGUGUUUUUUCCACUCUGACUCACCAUUUAAAAUAACACUUCCGACAUCUGAUGUGGAAAAGUACUUCCCCAGUUCCCAAUAAUUUUCUAGAAAAUGCCUGCUGGGAGUCCUAUUGCUAUAGCUAUAGAGACAGAUACGUAUCCAAGAAAGAGGUGGAGGAAAUACCAUUCCUGCUAGGGUUGCCGCUCAAACUCAUCCCAUGAAUGGCAACUUGAAAUUGCUAUUAUAGCAAAGCUGCUGCCCAGAAAUAGCACCAGCCAAAAAUAUCAACAUGGCUAUUUACUGUGUCGCACUGACAACUUAUAGCCUAUUAUAAUUCCAUUAUAAUAAAAUUACCACGGCUGACACUCCCACUCCCAUUGUGCUCCUGAUGCCAUGAAAAUUCCGACUUCUUAUAAAGGCCAGAAAAUGUCCAGUCACCAAAUUCCUGGAAAUGUUUGUCCAUUCCUGAAAGGGUUUACUCCCUCCUAAGUGUGUACUUUCACUUUGCUAGUAAAUCUAAUUCCUCUGCUAAGCUUUGUGUAUGUCUUGUCCUUGAGUUCUUUCAUAUGUCAGAGAUAAGAACAUGAACCUCUUAAAUUCUGAACAUUAUAACACCUCUUUUUUAAAUUUAUAUAAGUUGAACAAAUUUCAUGUAGUUCAUAGUGAUAUGAAAUACAUAGUGAUAAUUCCACUCUAUAACUCCUCUUAAUUCCAACACUCUAAGACAGAGUCAGAUCCCAAAGGUUGAAGGUUCAGUUCCACAAGACCGCUCCCUCCCCAUUUCAGAUGCCAGUCAUAAGUAAUAGAUCAUCAGCUAUACUCUGACCAACCAGCUACAUCAGGGGUCUUUCUGCCUUCCCCUUGAGUUCAAUUCAUUUUCUGUCAGUCACAGAGAUCAGGGAAACACUUUGCUUACAUGUAGCAGCUGAAUGAUAGGGAAGGUAAGAAAGAAUAAAAAAGCCAGAUAAGCUACACAAUGUGAGGUCUAGAAAAGUCCUAAGCACAGAAAUUUCUGUCCUUGUGAAGUUGAGAUGACCAUUGUCCCAGCACAAGGAUAUGUUUGACAAUUGGGAAGCUCUCUGAACCCUUAAAUUUGGAGAACUUUAUGGAGGUUUUAUUUAUUUCCAGUGUCUCUUCCCUCUCUGGAGAAUAGGAGAGGGAGAACUGAAUGACCUACUCUUAUAAUCAUGUUUAUCUCGUUCUGGUGACCAGACCUUAGUCAAGAGCCCACUGUGAGUUAUUUCAUUAGGGAAAAAAAGGUGUCCAGUAAAUUCCAAAGGAUUUAGGAACUCUGAGUCAAGAACUGGGGUCAAAGGCCAAAUAUUACAGCAAAGUAAUUUUCCUAGUGCCCCCAUCUAGUAGGGUAUUAGGAAUUGUGACUCAGGAGAUUGGGCCAGAAUAAAAUAUUGGGAUCAAAGAUUCUUCUAGCACCCCUAUCACUCAGAAAACUACAAAGGUGUUAGGUGAUCUGUGCUCAGGGCUGGAACCAGAGACCAAGAUAUAUGUAUUUCCUAUUACUAUCUCACACUGGCAGUCAAGCUACGUCAAACAUUACAUUGACCUGUUAGUGAAACUGAACCCCUAUACAUGGCCUUGAAUGCAAAUGUUGGAUACCACCAGGCCCCUGCCUCUCAGCCUCUCUCCCUUAGUGUAAGGUGUCUUUGUCCUGUGUUGUGUGUGCAUGUGUGUGUUGUUGUUGUUGUUGUUUUAACCUUUUUUUAAUUGCAAGUUGGCCUCUUACUAAAUUUAACUUACUGAAUUGAGGGAGUACUGCAGCCAUCACUGGACUCAUGUGGUCAUUUUUUUCUCCAAUAAUUACCAACUUGAUGGCUGGUAUGGUCUCAAAGGGUAUCUUCUCAGGGAAAUUCCAGGCCCAUGGCAGGAAGUAAUUACCAUCUGCAUGUUGUCCUCGGAAUGGCUAAAGCCAAACACUGCAGACCAACCAGAAACUUAGGUAUGAGCUGAACAUCCAUUCUCAAGACCCAACUUAAAUCUAUAAGAAGCUUUGUCCCUAUCCCCUCCAGGAGCCUGCAACUUGAGCUACAGCAGCCUAGCUCCUAGUUCUGAACAUUGCAAUAAGUACCUCCUUUCUCCCAGCAUCUCAAUGCCAGUGAUUUGGCUUUCUGCAUGUGGGGCAGACAUCUCCAGUCUGGGGGUUCUACAGCAACUCCUCCAACCACUUAUCGAGACAGUUCCUUACUAUUACCAAUUCCUUGGCCAAGUUGAGGCAUGUGGCACACUCACAUGCUUUGUGAUCAAUUUAGCAGGAAGAACUGAGACUCUGACUAUAUUUCAUAUAGAGAAGGUUAAAAAUGUUUUCCUCUACUUCAGUGGUUAUGGCUUACAAAUCACAUGUAAUAUGAGACAGAUAAUAAGAAAAAUGAGUUUUAGGUAUAUAUGCACACACAAGAGUUCACAAAGAAUGUCCUUCAAGGCGGUGGCCACGUGA